CAUGUACUCCCUCCGUCCGGAAAUACUUGUCGGAGAAAUGGAUAUAUCUAGAUGUAUUUUAGUUCUAGAUACAUCCAUUUUUAUCCAUUUCUGUGACAAGUAAUUCUAGACGGAGGGAGUACUAG
Molecule: non-coding RNA, 125 nt
Organism: Triticum aestivum (bread wheat)
Lineage: Eukaryota; Viridiplantae; Streptophyta; Magnoliopsida; Poales; Poaceae
Source: Rfam